AUUAUGCUACCUUUGCACAGUUAGAAUACUGCGGCCAUUUAAAAAUUUUCAGUGGGCAGGUUAGACUUUAAAUUUAUUUCAAAAAGACAUGUUUUUGUUAAACAGGCGAAUAUUAUUUUUGCCGAAUUCUUUACUUAAACUUAUCAUUUAAAUUUAUUUUACAAUAAAAUAUACUAAUUCUAUCAUUAUUACUUAAUUUUAAAAAUUAAAAUUAAUAUUUCAAUAAAAAUUUAAAAUAUAAUAAAUAAUUUAAUUUAUAAAAUAAAUUAUAACAUAAUUUUAAAUAAUUGCUAAUUCUAAGCAUAUAUUUUUUAAAUUUAUUUAUUAUUUAUAAAAAUUUAUUUUAUAGCUUAUCCCAUAAAAUAUUAAAAUUAUAAAUUAUUUAAUUAAAAAAUUUUUUAAAUAAAUUUAUAACUUCUAAAUUAAAUUUAUUUCUUGAAAAACUAGAUACCUUUAAAAACGAAUAACAUUUCAUUUCUAAUAUAAUAUUUAAAAUAAUUUUAUUACAUUAACUUUUAUAUUAUAUUAACUCUUUUAAAAUCGAGAAAAAUAUAUUUAAAUAUUUUUUAUUUAAUAAACGCUGAUACACAAGGUACGAUAAAUUAAAUCUUCUUUUAAAAUAAAAAUUUUUCAAAAUAUUUCAAUUUUCUUUUACAAUACUACUAAACUAUUAUUAAAAUUAUUUUUUCUUUAAACAAUACUAAAACUUUUUCUUAUAUAAUUAUUUUUAAUAUUUUUACUCAAAAUUAAUAAAAUUAAUAAAUAAAAUCUAA
This 773-nucleotide ribosomal RNA is filed under the name Drosophila lacicola. RNAcentral's name for it is "partial 16S ribosomal RNA". The record is from RNAcentral. Lineage: Eukaryota; Metazoa; Arthropoda; Insecta; Diptera; Drosophilidae.